UGCAGUCGACGGUGAAGCCCAGCUUGCUGGGUGGAUCAGUGGCGAACGGGUGAGUAACACGUGAGUAACCUGCCCCUGACUCUGGGAUAAGCCUUGGAAACGAGGUCUAAUACCGGAUACGUGACGCUCAGGCAUCUGAUGCGUCUGGAAAGAUUUAUCGGUCAGGGAUGGACUCGCGGCCUAUCAGCUUGUUGGUGGGGUAACGGCCCACCAAGGCGACGACGGGUAGCCGGCCUGAGAGGGCGACCGGCCACACUGGGACUGAGACACGGCCCAGACUCCUACGGGAGGCAGCAGUGGGGAAUAUUGCACAAUGGGCGCAAGCCUGAUGCAGCGACGCCGCGUGAGGGAUGAAGGCCUUCGGGUUGUAAACCUCUUUCAGCAGGGAAGAAGCGCAAGUGACGGUACCUGCAGAAGAAGCGCCGGCUAACUACGUGCCAGCAGCCGCGGUAAUACGUAGGGCGCAAGCGUUGUCCGGAAUUAUUGGGCGUAAAGAGCUCGUAGGCGGUUUGUCGCGUCUGCUGUGAAAACUCGAGGCUCAACCUCGGGCUUGCAGUGGGUACGGGCAGACUAGAGUGCGGUAGGGGAGACUGGAAUUCCUGGUGUAGCGGUGGAAUGCGCAGAUAUCAGGAGGAACACCGAUGGCGAAGGCAGGUCUCUGGGCCGCAACUGACGCUGAGGAGCGAAAGCAUGGGGAGCGAACAGGAUUAGAUACCCUGGUAGUCCAUGCCGUAAACGUUGGGCACUAGGUGUGGGGCUCAUUCCACGA
Molecule: ribosomal RNA, 769 nt
Filed under: Cellulomonas sp.
Lineage: Bacteria; Bacillati; Actinomycetota; Actinomycetes; Micrococcales; Cellulomonadaceae
Description: bacterial SSU rRNA
Rfam family: Bacterial small subunit ribosomal RNA
Source: RNAcentral